GGCUGAUCCCAUCAUAGUAGGUUGUCAGUACUGGCAUUAGCGCCAUGAAAGUUGUAAGCAGUACCCCACUGCUAAAUUUGACUGGCUGAAA
RNAcentral lists this small RNA (91 nucleotides) under Peromyscus maniculatus bairdii (prairie deer mouse). Its description in RNAcentral is "Y RNA (ENSPEMG00000004346.2)". The record is from RNAcentral. Lineage: Eukaryota; Metazoa; Chordata; Mammalia; Rodentia; Cricetidae.